UGAAUAAUAGCUCUAUAAAUUUAACUUUAACUGUAAAUUCAAAUAGUUAGAUUUUGAGAAAUUUGCAUAAAUCUAGAUUGUUGAAAUUGAAAUGGGGAAGAAGAAAAUUGUUAGUGAAGUAAUAGAAGUUCAGUCUAAAAAGAGGAAUGAUAUUGGUGAAGAAAGAAGAAAUCGAUUAAAAAGAAGCCACAUGAUCUUUAAGAAAAAGAAGAAAUUUUAGUGAUGAUUCUUCAUUGAGGCAUUCAAACCAGAAAAAGUAGCAAUUUAAGAACCUGAUGUUAAUUCAAACCAAGCUAAAGAUUUAAAAAAUAAAUAAACAAAAUAAAUAAAUAAAUAAUAAAUAAAAAAAUAUAUAUUUUUCCUCUUUCUUUCCUUCUCCUUUUCCCCCCUUCUCCUUCUUUUCCUUCCUCCUUUUCCCUUCUCUUUUCUCCCUUCUCCCUGCCGACUGCCCUCUCCCCCUCACCGCCUGCGUGCCGCCCAGAUCGCCGCCGCAUACAGCAGCGCCUUUCCCCUCCUCCCGCUGCCGCGCGCCGCCUUCCCUUUCUCCCUCCCUUCCGCGCGACGCCGACGAAGGACGAAAGAGGCUGCCGUCGUCGAUUUGGCUUCCUGCCGGCGUCCUUUCAGCAAUCCGACGCCGGAUUCGGACUCCUCACCCCCAAAAACCCCCGAAGCAAGUCUCUCCCGCCGAUUUCCUCCACCGGUAGCUUCGGAGGAGCUUCACCGGAGUAGUACCUUUCCGGACCCGAUCCGGUGUCUUCCGGCGAGUUUCCGCCGAAACUCUCAUGUUUUCGGACUUCCCGUGACUCGAGCUUCGAGUAGGCGCUUCCGAAUUCGAAUUCUGAUACUGUUGGCAGGACCAGCUUCCGGACUCCGAUGUUCUCUGGACGUUUGAAAUAUUGUAAUUUUGACUUGGUAUAAUUUUAUUUACACCCUAAAAAUUAUUUUGUAAUUUAAAACAAUACCGUGGCUAUUAAUUAUCAGUGAUGGAUAAUUUAAAAAUUAAUUGAAUUUUAAUUAAUUGUGAUUGUAUUGUGUUGCGGAGUGAAGAGAAAUAAUGCAGUUUUGGUGGCCCAACUCCUUUUAAUUAAUCGCAGGAUAUUUCAAGUGUUUUUGGCAGGUUCUGGAUCCAUUUUACGGGGAAUAAACGUCUGUAAUUUAGGGGAGGUUUUGCCGAAUUUUCAACAGAAUUCUCGAGUCUAAAAUAAUUUUAGGCUGUCUAAUCUGGGGGUCUAGGCCUAGGAAAAAUUUAUGAAUGUCUAUUAAUUGAGUGUUUUCGUGAAUAGAUAAUCUAUCCAUUCCGCCAGCUCCACCCGAGGCAUAGGAGCGAACCGAGGAGCGCGA
This 1341-nucleotide long non-coding RNA is filed under the name Ricinus communis (castor bean). Its description in RNAcentral is "long non-coding RNA (RCOM_LNC002715)". Lineage: Eukaryota; Viridiplantae; Streptophyta; Magnoliopsida; Malpighiales; Euphorbiaceae. The record is from RNAcentral.